AUCUAGAUGACGAGUCUCAAAUAGGACAAAAUGCACGUCUUAUAU
RNAcentral lists this non-coding RNA (45 nucleotides) under Schistosoma mattheei. Lineage: Eukaryota; Metazoa; Platyhelminthes; Trematoda; Strigeidida; Schistosomatidae. The record is from RNAcentral.